UACGAAGGGGGCUAGCGUUGCUCGGAAUUACUGGGCGUAAAGCGCACGUAGGCGGUCUUUUAAGUCGGUGGUGAAAUCCUGGAGCUCAACUCCAGAACCGCCUUCGAUACUGGAAGACUUGAGUCCGGGAGAGGUGAGUGGAACUGCGAGUGUAGAGGUGAAAUUCGUAGAUAUUCGCAAGAACACCAGUGGCGAAGGCGGCUCACUGGCCCGGUACUGACGCUGAGGUGCGAAAGCGUGGGGAGCAAACAGG
This 253-nucleotide ribosomal RNA is filed under the name uncultured bacterium. RNAcentral describes it as "partial 16S ribosomal RNA". It matches the Rfam family "Bacterial small subunit ribosomal RNA", at positions 524 to 776 of the family's 1533-position model. The record is from RNAcentral.